This is a long non-coding RNA of Asparagus officinalis (garden asparagus), 2233 nucleotides long. RefSeq lists it as uncharacterized. The transcript is spliced from 3 exons. NCBI's taxonomy places the organism in Eukaryota, Viridiplantae, Streptophyta, Magnoliopsida, Asparagales, Asparagaceae. The record is from RefSeq and is a predicted model, not a curated record.
CCUCCGCUGCUCCAACUUCGCCGUCCACAAGUUCUCCGCCGCGCCCAGUGUCGCCAGCCGAUGUAGCUUCGCCCGUCGUUGCCUCAGCACAGUCCCAGCCCCAGCGUCGCCUGCCUCUGCCCGCGUUCCUGCCACAGUGCCGACCCAGCGCCGCCAACCGUCGCUCAGUGCCUGCCCUAUCGUCGCCCCGUUAUUGGCGUCACCCCAGCAUCGCCAGAUCUUCGCCGCAGCCCUUCGUCGCUGCCCCUGCCAGCCGUUCGUUUAUGUGGUACUCAAAACAUUAGCAGUUUUGUUGUCAAGAGGUAACAAAUAGUUUAACAAGAAAGCUCAGUCUGUAGGCUGUCGAUUUAUAGGUAUGAAAACUUGCCAUUUUUAUUUUUCACACUGCCUGAAAGUAUGAUUUGUCUGUUCCAAAUUGGCUGUCUUUCAAACCAACCUCUCUUCUUGUAAUUUUAUUUUGAGCUAAUGGAAAGCAAUCUCCUUGAGUUUACUUCUAGUUGAUUUGGUCUCUGUUUUAUGAUAUACAACUAUAGUCAUAUGAAUAUGGCAUGCAUACACACACAUACAUACAUACGUACAUACAUACAUGCACAAUGCAUACAUACGCACAUGCAUAUAUGCAUAUGUGUGAGCACGUCCGCGUUGCAUAUAUAUGAACGGACAUGUAUGUGUCCCGCAUUUUUUUGAGACUACAUUUUGUCUUUGUAUCACGUAUUGUGCAACAUCUUGGUGUGCUGUUUUAGUAACCGUGUGUCAUAAUCCUUAACUCCUUUGGCCUGAGCAAGCCUACUAAUAUAAACUAUAGUAGCUUGGUACAUUUGCUUAAAUGGCUUUAGGUUAGCGCAUUGCAUUUCUUCACUGUCGGUGCUUAGUUAAUAUCUCAUAUACAUCAUAUAACUAUCUUAAAUUCUAUUACAAAAUCAUGGGAAGCACUUGGAAUCUUUGUUAGCAAGUUCACAUUUAUGCAAACUUUAUGUAGAUCUCAAUUUAGUUCUUUUCUGAACCAAAUUAUAUGUUUACUUUUUCAUUCUACAAACUAGGAUACAACUCACUGCUAAUUGAGUAAGCUGGAUGAGAUUCAUAUCAUCUGACUAUUAGGCAGGCAUGGUCAGGGUUAAGCAAGCUUAUCGAGUCAGGUUUGGGCCAGCCUAGUGCAGGUCUGGUCAAAACUGAUUUGCCUGUAUACCUGAUUGCAACCGCUAUUGUAGGGCUAUGUGAAAUUGGUCAAAAUGGGUAAAAGGUAACUUUCAUUUGAUGCUGAUUUUGCUUGGUAUUUGGCUUCAGGUUGACCAGCUUAGACUAGGGAUUAAUGUCCAUCGACUGUAUGUUGGUGGACGUGAUAUUGGAAUGCCUAGAUGGAGGUGACAAAAGAAUAGGGUUAUUUUCACAAAGCCUUCCUCAACUUUUGGGGGUUGGUGGUGUUGCACAGGAAAUAUGUGAAAGAAAAUUCAUUACAAGUUGCACUUAGAAAUAAACCUACAGAAGUGAGUGUUGAUAACUGUGAUUGGCUAGUUAAGGAACGUUAUUUUUCUUCAAAAUUCUAGAAAGCAAGCCAACAAAAUACACUUAACAGAGGCAAAAGAAAGAUGCUCCACCACAUGGGCAGCAAAUCCUUUAGACAAAUCGCGUGGGAAUUAGUAUACAUUCAAAACUACUUUCCUAUUUAUUUAAAACUACUUUGUUUUUUAGUUUGAUGUUGUACUCAUUUUUAUUUAACAUUUGAAUAAGGGUGGCAAGUCAGGAAAUCCACCUGAUGUGGCACAAAUGUUUCAUGAAACUCAAAAGGAAGCUAAUGAAGUACUAGAUAUUGGAGAUCAAGAUAAAUAUAUAAGUAGAAUAUGUGUUUAAGUUUGAUAAUGAUGCAUUAUAUAGUACUAACAUAUGAAUUUAUUUUUUAUAGGAUGAAAUUGUUCAAGUCAAACAAGCAAACCCUUCACUUUCUGACAUUGAGAUAGUUGAGAAAAUCUGGAGAAAGCAAUCUCAUGGUCACAUCACAGUAUUUGGUGGCGGGACUACUUUGAAAGAUUUGAGAGGACCGCUCCCUAGUCGAUCUGAUCUGGAAGCACGAGUUAUAGAAGAAAAAAGAAAGAACCAGAUACUUCAACAACGCUUAGAUGAGCAGGAGCAACAACAACAAAGGAUGUCUGAGUUGGAGUCACAAGUGAAAGCUAUGCAAGAACUUUUUUUAGGCAAUCACCUUCAUUGACUCCUCAAACUCGAGAACGUGUGCAGG